RNAcentral lists this ribosomal RNA (224 nucleotides) under Fragilariopsis kerguelensis. RNAcentral describes it as "partial Bacterial small subunit ribosomal RNA". It matches the Rfam family "Bacterial small subunit ribosomal RNA", at positions 1153 to 1375 of the family's 1533-position model. Lineage: Eukaryota; Bacillariophyta; Bacillariophyceae; Bacillariales; Bacillariaceae. The record is from RNAcentral.
UGGUUAUAAACCGGAGGAAGGCGGGGAUGAAGUCAAGUCAGCAUGCCCCUUACGUCCCGGGCUACAAGCGUACUACAAUGGAUGAGACAAAGAGAAGCAAUCCUGCGAAGGGGAGCAAACCUCAAAAACUCAUUCUCAGUUCGGAUUGCAGACUGCAACUCGUCUGCAUGAAGGCGGAUUCGCUAGUAAUCGUUGGUCAGCUAUACAACGGUGAAUACGUUCUC